Molecule: ribosomal RNA, 433 nt
Filed under: uncultured bacterium
Lineage: Bacteria
Description: partial 16S ribosomal RNA
Rfam family: Bacterial small subunit ribosomal RNA
Source: RNAcentral
GCGAACGCUGGCGGCAGGCCUAACACCUGCCAGUCGAACGAACCUUUCGGGGUUAGUGGCGGACGGGUGAGUAACACGUGGGAACGUGCCUUUAGGUUCGGAAUAACUCAGGGAAACUUGUGCUAAUACCGAAUGUGCCCUUCGGGGGAAAGAUUUAUCGCCUUUAGAGCGGCCCGCGUCUGAUUAGCUAGUUGGUUGAGGUAAUGGCUCACCAAGGCGACGAUCAGUAGCUGGUCUGAGAGGAUGAUCAGCCACAUUGGGACUGAGACACGGCCCAAACUCCUACGGGAGGCAGCAGUGGGGAAUCUUGCGCAAUGGGCGAAAGCCUGACGCAGCCAUGCCGCGUGAAUGAUGAAGGUCUUAGGAUUGUAAAAUUCUUUCACCGGGGACGAUAAUGACGGUACCCGGAGAAGAAGCCCCGGCUAACUUCGUG